AAAACACAGGUCCGUGCGAAGUCGCAAGACGAUGUAUACGGACUGACUCCUGCCCGGUGCUGGAAGGUUAAGAGGACCGGUUAGCCUCACGGCGAAGCUGAGAAUUCAAGCCCCAGUAAACGGCGGUGGUAACUAUAACCAUCCUAAGGUAGCGAAAUUCCUUGUCGGGUAAGUUCCGACCUGCACGAAUGGAGUAACGACUUCCCCGCUGUCUCAACCAUAAACUCGGCGAAAUUGCAGUACGAGUAAAGAUGCUCGUUACGCGCAGCAGGACGGAAAGACCCCGAGACCUUUACUAUAGUUUGGUAUUGGUGUUCGGAGUGGCUUGUGUAGGAUAGGUGGGAGACGUUGAAGCCCGGACGCCAGUUCGGGUGGAGUCAUCGUUGAAAUACCACUCUGGUCACUUUGGACAUCUAACUUCGGCCCGUAAUCCGGGUCAGGGACAGUGCCUGAUGGGUAGUUUAACUGGGGCGGUUGCCUCCUAAAAAGUAACGGAGGCGCCCAAAGGUUCCCUCAGCCUGGUUGGCAAUCAGGUGUCGAGUGUAAGUGCACAAGGGAGCUUGACUGUGAGAGAGACAUCUCGAGCAGGGACGAAAGUCGGGACUAGUGAUCCGGCGGUACAUUGUGGAAUGGCCGUCGCUCAACGGAUAAAAGGUACCUCGGGGAUAACAGGCUGAUCUUGCCCAAGAGUCCAUAUCGACGGCAUGGUUUGGCACCUCGAUGUCGGCUCGUCGCAUCCUGGGGCUGGAGUAGGUCCCAAGGGUUGGGCUGUUCGCCCAUUAAAGCGGUACGCGAGCUGGGUUUAGAACGUCGUGAGACAGUUCGGUCCCUAUCCGCUGCGCGCGCAGGAAAUUUGAGAAGGGCUGUCCUUAGUACGAGAGGACCGGGACGGACGAACCUCUGGUGUGUCAGUUGUACUGCCAAGUGCACCGCUGAUUAGCUACGUUCGGAUGGGAUAACCGCUGAAAGCAUCUAAGCGGGAAGCUCGCUUCGAGAUGAGAUUUCCAUACACCUUGUGUGUGAGAGGCCCCCAGCCAGACCACUGGGUUGAUAGGCCGGAUGUGGAAGCGAGGACUAACGACUCGUGAAGCUGACCGGUACUAAUAGGCCGAUAACUUACACCACACA
Molecule: ribosomal RNA, 1128 nt
Filed under: Arthrobacter sp. HMWF013
Lineage: Bacteria; Bacillati; Actinomycetota; Actinomycetes; Micrococcales; Micrococcaceae
Description: bacterial LSU rRNA
Rfam family: Bacterial large subunit ribosomal RNA
Source: RNAcentral